RNAcentral lists this ribosomal RNA (253 nucleotides) under uncultured bacterium. RNAcentral describes it as "partial 16S ribosomal RNA". It matches the Rfam family "Bacterial small subunit ribosomal RNA", at positions 524 to 776 of the family's 1533-position model. The record is from RNAcentral.
UACGUAGGGUGCAAGCGUUAAUCGGAAUUACUGGGCGUAAAGCGUGCGCAGGCGGUUAUGUAAGACAGGUGUGAAAUCCCCGGGCUUAACCUGGGAACUGCAUUUGUGACUGCAUAGCUAGAGUCCGGUAGGGGAUCACGGAAUUCCUGGUGUAGCGGUGAAAUGCGCAGAUAUCAGGAGGAACACCGAUGGCGAAGGCAGGUCUCUGGGCUGACACUGACGCUCAUGCACGAAAGCGUGGGGAACAAACAGG